RNAcentral lists this ribosomal RNA (465 nucleotides) under uncultured bacterium. RNAcentral's name for it is "partial 16S ribosomal RNA". It matches the Rfam family "Bacterial small subunit ribosomal RNA", at positions 338 to 795 of the family's 1533-position model. The record is from RNAcentral.
CCUACGGGUGGCAGCAGUGGGGAAUAUUGCGCAAUGGGCGAAAGCCUGACGCAGCGACGCCGCGUGAGGGAUGAAGGUCUUCGGAUCGUAAACCUCUGUCAGCAGGGAAGAACGGUCACUGUGCUAAUCAGCAGUGAAUUGACGGUACCUGCAAAGGAAGCACCGGCUAACUCCGUUCCAGCAGCCGCGGUAAUACGGAGGGUGCGAGCGUUAAUCGGAAUUACUGGGCGUAAAGCGCUCGUAGGCGGUAUGUCAAGUCAAGGGUGAAAUCCCCGCGCUCAACGUGGGAACUGCCUUUGAAACUGGCAAACUGGAGUGUGUGAGAGGAUAGUGGAAUUCCAGGUGUAGGAGUGAAAUCCGUAGAUAUCUGGAGGAACAUCAGGGGCGAAGGCAGCCUGCCGGGGUGCGACUGACGCUGAGGCUCGAAGGUGCGGGUAUCAAACAGGAUUAGAUACCCUAGUAGUC